RNAcentral lists this ribosomal RNA (497 nucleotides) under uncultured bacterium. Its description in RNAcentral is "partial 16S ribosomal RNA". It matches the Rfam family "Bacterial small subunit ribosomal RNA", at positions 28 to 507 of the family's 1533-position model. The record is from RNAcentral.
GAUGAACGCUGGCGGCGUGCCUAAUACAUGCAAGUCGAGCGAACAGAUGAGGAGCUUGCUCCUCUGACGUUAGCGGCGGACGGGUGAGUAACACGUGGAUAACCUACCUAUAAGACUGGGAUAACUUCGGGAAACCGGAGCUAAUACCGGAUAAUAUAUUGAACCGCAUGGUUCAAUAGUGAAAGACGGCUUUGCUGUCACUUAUAGAUGGAUCCGCGCCGCAUUAGCUAGUUGGUAAGGUAACGGCUUACCAAGGCGACGAUGCGUAGCCGACCUGAGAGGGUGAUCGGCCACACUGGAACUGAGACACGGUCCAGACUCCUACGGUAGGCAGCAGUAGGGAAUCUUCCGCAAUGGGCGAAAGCCUGACGGAGCAACGCCGCGUGAGUGAUGAAGGUCUUCGGAUCGGAAAACUCUGUUAUUAGGGAAGAACAAAUUUGUAAGUAACUAUGCACGUCUUGACGGUACCGAAUCAGAAAGCCACGGCUAACUACGUG